This 163-nucleotide ribosomal RNA is filed under the name Acaena pinnatifida. Its description in RNAcentral is "5.8S ribosomal RNA". It matches the Rfam family "5.8S ribosomal RNA". From Rfam's summary of the family: 5.8S ribosomal RNA (5.8S rRNA) is a component of the large subunit of the eukaryotic ribosome. It is transcribed by RNA polymerase I as part of the 45S precursor that also contains 18S and 28S rRNA. Functionally, it is thought that 5.8S rRNA may be involved in ribosome translocation. The record is from RNAcentral. Lineage: Eukaryota; Viridiplantae; Streptophyta; Magnoliopsida; Rosales; Rosaceae.
UAAACGACUCUCGGCAACGGAUAUCUCGGCUCUCGCAUCGAUGAAGAACGUAGCGAAAUGCGAUACUUGGUGUGAAUUGCAGAAUCCCGUGAACCAUCGAGUCUUUGAACGCAAGUUGCACCCGAAGCCAUUAGGCGAGGGCAUGUCUGCCUGGGCGUCACAC